UACGAAGGGGGCUAGCGUUGCUCGGAAUCACUGGGCGUAAAGGGUGCGUAGGCGGGUCUUUAAGUCAGGGGUGAAAUCCUGGAGCUCAACUCCAGAACUGCCUUUGAUACUGAGGAUCUUGAGUUCGGGAGAGGUGAGUGGAACUGCGAGUGUAGAGGUGAAAUUCGUAGAUAUUCGCAAGAACACCAGUGGCGAAGGCGGCUCACUGGCCCGAUACUGACGCUGAGGCACGAAAGCGUGGGGAGGCAAACAGG
This 254-nucleotide ribosomal RNA is filed under the name uncultured bacterium. RNAcentral's name for it is "partial 16S ribosomal RNA". It matches the Rfam family "Bacterial small subunit ribosomal RNA", at positions 524 to 776 of the family's 1533-position model. The record is from RNAcentral.